Molecule: non-coding RNA, 799 nt
Organism: Hydra vulgaris (swiftwater hydra)
Lineage: Eukaryota; Metazoa; Cnidaria; Hydrozoa; Anthoathecata; Hydridae
Source: RefSeq, a predicted model, not a curated record
GUUAUGUUUUCUUUGAUGCAGGUGAUAUCAGUGAGGAUAUGAAUGGAGGGGUCAACAAGCAUAUUAUAGAACCUGUGUCAACUAAUUUAGAAGCUGUCAAUGUCAAGUUAGAAAUUAAAAUUUAGACAACUCUUCAAACUUUUAAAUAGAAGAUAAUUCAAGUGGUACAAUUGCAAUUGAUGACUGCAAAUUGCAGUGGGGGGAAAAAGAAACAUAGUACUGUUUUAGAAGAGCAAAAAAAAAAGGUUUUGAAGCAUAUCAACUUUCUUUUUUCAAUAAGGAAUUCAAUAUUACUUUCCAUAUUCCGAAAAGCAACAGACGUGAUACUUACGAGCAUUGACCAAGCAAGUUAUCAAGAACAUGUUUAGCAAAAAAUUUUAAAGAGAGAAAAAAAAGUGGAGAUAUUCCUAUAGUCAUGUUUGAUUUGUAAAAUAUUAAAAUGUACCCUAGAGCUGGAGUGAGCUCUUUUUAUUAUCGAAAAAAACUUAAAAACUUACUUAUGUACAAUUUGACUGCAUUUUUUAGCACGAUAAAAACAAAAUACUGUGUUUUUUGGGUGGAAACAUCUUCAGGCAGAAACAGGAACAAUUAAGCAAAUGCUAUUAGAAUAAUAUUGGACAAAAUAGUUAAAAAAAAUGAUUUCACACAAUUAGUCAUAUGGAGUGAGUCUUGUUUCCCGCAAAACAGGAACAGCAUUAUAUCUUAUGCUGUCUGAUUUUUUGAAAAGUUAUUCAGAAGUAAAAGAAAUCACAAUGAAAUAUUUGACUCCUGGUCAUUUAAAAAUACAAGAAGUGGACAA